Molecule: transfer RNA, 71 nt
Filed under: Parageobacillus toebii
Lineage: Bacteria; Bacillati; Bacillota; Bacilli; Caryophanales; Anoxybacillaceae
Description: tRNA-Pro
Rfam family: tRNA
About the family: Transfer RNA (tRNA) molecules are approximately 80 nucleotides in length. Their secondary structure includes four short double-helical elements and three loops (D, anti-codon, and T loops). Further hydrogen bonds mediate the characteristic L-shaped molecular structure. tRNAs have two regions of fundamental functional importance: the anti-codon, which is responsible for specific mRNA codon recognition, and the 3' end, to which the tRNAs corresponding amino acid is attached (by aminoacyl-tRNA synthetases). tRNAs cope with the degeneracy of the genetic code in two manners: having more than one tRNA (with a specific anti-codon) for a particular amino acid; and 'wobble' base-pairing, i.e. permitting non-standard base-pairing at the 3rd anti-codon position.
Source: RNAcentral
GGAAGUAGCUCAGCUUGGUAGAGCACAUGGUUUGGGACCAUGGGGUCGCAGGUUCGAAUCCUGUCUUCCCG